RNAcentral lists this ribosomal RNA (428 nucleotides) under uncultured bacterium. RNAcentral's name for it is "bacterial SSU rRNA". It matches the Rfam family "Bacterial small subunit ribosomal RNA", at positions 378 to 793 of the family's 1533-position model. The record is from RNAcentral.
CAAGCCUGAUGCAGCCAUGCCGCGUGUAUGUAAGAAGGCCUUCGGGUUGUAAAGUACUUUCAGCAGUGAGGAAGGUGGAUAUGUUAAUAGCAUACUCAGUUUGACGUUUAGCUGCAGAAGAAGCACCGGCUAACUCCGUGCCAGCAGCCGCGGUAAUACGGAGGGUGCGAGCGUUAAUCGGAAGUUUACUGGGCGUAAAGCGCAUGCAGGUGGUUUGUUAAGUCAGAUGUGAAAGCCCGGGGCUCAACCUCGGAAUUGCAUUUUGAAACUGGCAAACUAGAGUACUGUAGAGGGGGUAGAAUUUCAGGUGUAGCGGUGAAAUGCGUAGAGAUCUGAAGGAAUACCGGUGGCGAAGGCGGCCCCCUGGACAGAUACUGACACUCAGAUGCGAAAGCGUGGGGAGCAAACAGGAUUAGAUACCCUGGUAG